CCUUCGAUAGCUCAGUUGGUAGAGCGGUGGACUGUAGAGGAAUGUUCAUAGUAAUCCAUAGGUCGCUGGUUCAAAUCCGGCUCGAAGGA
RNAcentral lists this transfer RNA (89 nucleotides) under Pediculus humanus corporis (human body louse). RNAcentral describes it as "tRNA tRNA-Tyr". It matches the Rfam family "tRNA". Rfam says of the family: Transfer RNA (tRNA) molecules are approximately 80 nucleotides in length. Their secondary structure includes four short double-helical elements and three loops (D, anti-codon, and T loops). Further hydrogen bonds mediate the characteristic L-shaped molecular structure. tRNAs have two regions of fundamental functional importance: the anti-codon, which is responsible for specific mRNA codon recognition, and the 3' end, to which the tRNAs corresponding amino acid is attached (by aminoacyl-tRNA synthetases). tRNAs cope with the degeneracy of the genetic code in two manners: having more than one tRNA (with a specific anti-codon) for a particular amino acid; and 'wobble' base-pairing, i.e. permitting non-standard base-pairing at the 3rd anti-codon position. The record is from Rfam by way of RNAcentral. Lineage: Eukaryota; Metazoa; Arthropoda; Insecta; Psocodea; Pediculidae.